UGGGCGUUAUUUCAUAAGUUGCUCUGCGCCUUCGCGUGUCUCUUAAAGAAAUUAAGCCGAUUGGCUCCAGAGUGGCCGAGCGUCAGGCGGGCGUUGCCUCGCUGCUCGUUUCGGGCGUUCCUGUGCAGGCUUUGUUUUAUGUCGUACGUUAUAACGUCGUUUGUUUGAUCACCAUAUUGUGUGUCAGAUGUAAGCUUGUGAUUUUUCUCCUGUUUGACAUUAUUCCAUUUUUGUUUGCUACAUUUCCCCAAAUUUCUCCUUUUUUCUGCACAUUCCCACCUGUGAAACACUUCUCCUUUAUUUCUUAUCUUUACCCUCCUCCUCUUCUUUCCGUCUGGCUGUCGUCCUUCACCUCUGUCCCAUCCGGCUCUCUCUCUCCUCCCUGUUUUUGUUGGUACCUGUCUCUCCCUCAUCUCCGUCCCCGCCCCCCUUGUUUCUUGUCCCCCUGUCCUGUCUCCUCAGAUCUGUAUAAGAGUCUCCAGUCAGGGUCUCAGGUUGCUCUGCCUCCUCACUUGCAGCUCGCUUUCUCAGAUGUCAGUCAAAGCCAGGGAGGAGACGCCAAGAGGAAAUCUCUAUGAUGCAGCUGGACGUCAUCGCCCCGGCGGGGACGCCGCUGUCUGACGAAAUGACAAAUCAGGAUGAAACGUGGGUGAAAUUUGGACAGGCCGCUUGUAAUUAGGGUCUGAAAUUUUGAACCGGGUCACUCUUUUUGAGAUCUGAAAAGAUGAGCUCAACUUUUCAUGAAUACCACAGUUAAAUAUAACUUUUUUAAAAAUGAUUUGAUAACUUUGAAAUACUAUUCUUCAUAGAAUUGUUAAUUGAAAUGACAAAUAGAGUUUGUCAAUGUUUACAAGAUAGACCUAUAUCACUGUGGACAGGGAGAAGGAGUGAAUGGGAUUUUUAGGUGUGUGUGUGUGUGCGUGCGUGCGUGUGUGUGUGCGCGCGUGUGUGUGUUUGUAGGUGGGACUGAAAGUGUGCCUUCUGUGUGCCUCCCUCUCUGAUGCAUGGUCAGUGUGUCUUUUCGGUGCUGUUUUUAUCAUAAUGUAAUUAUCACUGAUACCUGUAAGAAAUGUAAACUGCAAAUAGAAUGAACCUUUUUUUCAAUGAGA
This is a non-coding RNA of Plectropomus leopardus (leopard coralgrouper), 1109 nucleotides long. The record is from RefSeq and is a predicted model, not a curated record. NCBI's taxonomy places the organism in Eukaryota, Metazoa, Chordata, Actinopteri, Perciformes, Serranidae.